GUCGGAUUGGCGAAACAGGUAGACGCAGCGGACUUAAAAUUCGUCGGCAUAUGUCUUGUGGGUUCGACUCCCUCAUCCGACACCA
Molecule: transfer RNA, 85 nt
Filed under: Oscillospiraceae bacterium
Lineage: Bacteria; Bacillati; Bacillota; Clostridia; Eubacteriales; Oscillospiraceae
Description: tRNA-Leu
Rfam family: tRNA
About the family: Transfer RNA (tRNA) molecules are approximately 80 nucleotides in length. Their secondary structure includes four short double-helical elements and three loops (D, anti-codon, and T loops).
Source: RNAcentral